This 468-nucleotide ribosomal RNA is filed under the name uncultured bacterium. Its description in RNAcentral is "partial 16S ribosomal RNA". It matches the Rfam family "Bacterial small subunit ribosomal RNA", at positions 28 to 507 of the family's 1533-position model. The record is from RNAcentral.
GACGAACGCUGGCGGCGUGCUUAACACAUGCAAGUCGAACGGAAAGGCCCUGCUUUUGUGGGUUGCUCGAGUGGCGAACGGGUGAGUAACACGUGAGUAACCUGCCCUUGACUUUGGGAUAACUUCAGGAAACUGGGGCUAAUACCGGAUAUGAUCUCCUGCUGCACGGUGGUGGUUGGAAAAUUUCGGCGGUUGGGGAUGGACUCGCUGGUUAUCAGCUUGUUGGUGGGGUAGUGGCUUACCAAGGCUUUGACGGGUAGCCGGCCUGAGAGGGUGACCGGCGACAUUGGGACUGAGAUACGGACCAGACUCGUACGGGAGGCAGCAGUGGGGAGUAUUGCACAAUGGGGGGAAGCGUGAUGCAGAAACGCCGCGUGCGGGAUGACGGCCUUCGGGUUGUAAACCGCUUUCGCCUGUGACGAAGAGUGAGUGACGGUAAUGGGUAAAGAAGCAACGGCUAACUACGUG